Molecule: long non-coding RNA, 512 nt
Organism: Oxyura jamaicensis (ruddy duck)
Lineage: Eukaryota; Metazoa; Chordata; Aves; Anseriformes; Anatidae
Exons: 2
Source: RefSeq, a predicted model, not a curated record
UGGAACAGAAGGAAAAGGUAUCCUCACUCAACAGAUAAAAACAUUCCUUUUGGGCUGUGAACACUAUCAUUAAGUUGAAGAUGAAGAAGCCAUUUUCUCUUCUUGUCAUGAGAUGCUGUAUUUCAGAUUCUGCAGUCAGUCUUUCAAGCAUUAUGACACUAAUCUAAGAUUAACAUUGACUUUGGUCUUGCAAAUGUUUUAAAUAGUAUUGUACCAAACCUAAAUUAUAUGCUCAUCAAACAUGCAAGAAGAUAGUUAAAUUAGGUUUUGCUAUAUUAAUUGGAGCAUUAAUGUUUUAAACUAAGAGCAAAAAAACACAAGCCCAUGUGACCAUGUUCUUUACCUUGACCAUAUUACCUUGCCAGAAUUGCUACCAAAAUUAUUUACCCUCUUUUUUGACAUAUGAGUGACACAACAAAACUAAACUAAACCUCUCCUGGGCUUUUAAAAAACCUUACAUGCUUUAAUGUCUAGUUAAGAUGUGCAAUAAAGGCUACGUAUCUUUUCAUUUA